RNAcentral lists this ribosomal RNA (253 nucleotides) under uncultured bacterium. RNAcentral's name for it is "partial 16S ribosomal RNA". It matches the Rfam family "Bacterial small subunit ribosomal RNA", at positions 524 to 776 of the family's 1533-position model. The record is from RNAcentral.
UACGUAGGGGGCAAGCGUUAUCCGGAAUUACUGGGUGUAAAGGGAGCGUAGACGGUAAUGUAAGUCUGGAGUGAAAGGCGGGGGCCCAACCCCCGGACUGCUCUGGAAACUAUGUUACUAGAGUGCAGGAGAGGUAAGCGGAAUUCCUAGUGUAGCGGUGAAAUGCGUAGAUAUUAGGAGGAACACCAGUGGCGAAGGCGGCUUACUGGACUGUAACUGACGUCGAGGCUCGAAAGCGUGGGGAGCAAACAGG